AGGUUUCAGCAAUGGGAACACAUGGAAGCAGCAGAGGCGUUUUGCAUUGUCGACCCUCAAAUAUUUUGGAUUUGGCAAGAAGUCACUUGAACCUGUCAUCUUGAAUGAAUUUAUGCAUUGUGCAAAAGACUUCAUUAGCCAUAAAUGAAAACCAUUCAAUCCUCACCUCGUCCUCAACAACACUGUCUCCAACAUCAUCUGCACCUUGGUUUUUGGUCAUCGCUUUGAGUACAGUGAUGAGAAGUUUAUGAAACUGAUGAAGAGCUUUGGCAAAGCUUUCCAGCUUCUAGUCUCCAUCUGGGCACAGCUUUACUACUCAUUCCCUCUGCUGAUGAGACGUUUGCCAGGGCCACAUCAGACAGUCCUGCACAUCUGGAGCAAUGUGAAGGACUUCAUAAGAAUGGAGCUUAAGCAGCACAGACAGAACUGGGAUCCCUCAGACCAAAGAGACUUUAUCGACUGCUACCUGAAUGAGACU
Epinephelus lanceolatus (giant grouper) is the source of this 478-nucleotide non-coding RNA. The record is from RefSeq and is a predicted model, not a curated record. NCBI's taxonomy places the organism in Eukaryota, Metazoa, Chordata, Actinopteri, Perciformes, Serranidae.